This is a long non-coding RNA of Capsicum annuum, 437 nucleotides long. RefSeq lists it as uncharacterized. Lineage: Eukaryota; Viridiplantae; Streptophyta; Magnoliopsida; Solanales; Solanaceae. The transcript has 3 exons. The record is from RefSeq and is a predicted model, not a curated record.
AUUCGGUUUCUUAAUUUCAAUCUUACCGUUCCUAAUAAAUAAUAAUCAAAUGGUUUAGUUCAUAUGUUGCUUCCCACACUUUCUGGGUAGAGUGGCUUCCUGCUCUGUCUUUUGGAAAAGAAAUUCCCAACCUCAAAGCUUCCGAUUCGACAGUCUCUGGACCAACAAAAUGGACCAGAGACUUCUUGUGAACGCCAUCACAAAAGAAACUACAGGCUGGAACUGUAAGGUUCAAGUAGUAGAUAGGUUUCGUCCUCGCCAGAGCAAAGACUCCUCCGUCCACUUUCAAACAAUACUCGUGCAAAAUGAAAGCGUAAGUUUUCCUCCCACAGGUUAUUUCAACUACUUAAUGCCCAUUCGGGGUACAUUAUAAUAUUUUCGCUUCCUUAUUCUUGGUGCCGUCUUGGUAGUGAUACGCUUGCUUUCGUUAUGUACAC